UAGAAGAAAGAACAUGGAAAGACUUAAUAUAGGUGACAAGAAAGACACACUGAUAACCUGAUAAUAUAAUUCGGUGGGUGUGAGCUAACGACAUUAUAAUGGAAGCAAUCCAGAACAAGAUCUUUCGAACUCGGAAUACAAUGGUAACCACAAUUUAGAUUACAGAUGGAAAUAAAAGAAAAGGAAAACUGUUUUCAAUUGAAUUCCAUUUUGGUAUGCUGGGGCACAGCCUUGAAGAAUUUUAGUCAAAUGAAUCAGCCUCUUUGUAAAGCGUGGUACUUAAACUAUUGGUCUCUUUUGCCAAACUGCUAAGUUACAGGGAUGUAAACAUGCCAACACCAGUUGUAAAGUGAUGGAGGGGGACAAACACACACACACAGAUACUUAUAGAAUACAAAAUGGCUUCUGCACAUUUCAGCUCCUUACUCAAAAAGUAUCAAUAUUAACAUGAGUCCAGAAUGCUGCUACUUUAUAAUGAACAGUAUAUUUUCCUUUUCAUAUUAAAUAUUGUAAUAGCAUAUGCAGUCUAAAAUAAUAACUCUGUCUUAUUGGAAAACAUUCUUUCACAGAUGUGGUGUGCAAGAGAGACAACUGCGCUGGCAUGGUCAUGUGUUGCAAAUGAAUGAGGACAGCUGUGUGAAAAAGUGUCAAACCCUAGCAGUUGAGGGAACCUGUGUAAGAGGUAGACCCAGGAAGACCUGGGAUGAGGUGGUGAAGCACGACCUUUGAGCAUUAGGCCUUACCGAGGUAAUGACUAAUGACCGAGACCUUUGGAGAUAUGCUAUGCUUGAGAAAAUCCGACAAGCCAAGUGAGACCAUAAACCGUGGCUUAUACCAGUGGGUGUAACCAGCCCACUCAUGAGUACCCCUCAUUCAUUGGACAAUAAAUUUUGCUUGUGAAGACCUGUUGAAGUAAGUGAAAUCAAAUUGGGUCAAUGGGUUCCUCACAAACUUUCCAAGUCUAAUGCUCAGCAACAUACAGCAAGGAUGACAUUCCAAAGGCUGGAGCAGUUUGAAUGGGAAAUGAUGCCCCAUCCACCAUAUUUGCCGGAUAUUGCUCCAUUUGAUUAUCAUUUAUUCUGCAGUCUUCAAAAUCAUUUGGACGGAAAAAAUAUGAAUUCUGUAGAUGAGGUCAGAAUAGUACAGGAGGAGUAUUUUCUAUCACGGACAAGUGAAUUUAAGAAGAGGGGCCUUGCAAGUCUACUAGAUAGA
Molecule: long non-coding RNA, 1212 nt
Organism: Octopus bimaculoides (California two-spot octopus)
Lineage: Eukaryota; Metazoa; Mollusca; Cephalopoda; Octopoda; Octopodidae
Source: RefSeq, a predicted model, not a curated record